GAUGAACGCUGGCGGCGUGCCUAAUACAUGCAAGUCGAGCGAAUGGAUUAAGAGCUUGCUCUUAUGAAGUUAGCGGCGGACGGGUGAGUAACACGUGGGUAACCUGCCCAUAAGACUGGGAUAACUCCGGGAAACCGGGGCUAAUACCGGAUAACAUUUUGAACCGCAUGGUUCGAAAUUGAAAGGCGGCUUCGGCUGUCACUUAUGGAUGGACCCGCGUCGCAUUAGCUAGUUGGUGAGGUAACGGCUCACCAAGGCAACGAUGCGUAGCCGACCUGAGAGGGUGAUCGGGCACACUGGGACUGAGACACGGCCCAGACUCCUACAGGAGGCAGCAGUAGGGAAUCUUCCGCAAUGGACGAAAGUCUGACGGAGCAACGCCGCGUGAGUGAGGAAGGCUUUCGGGUCGUAAAACUCUGUUGUUAGGGAAGAACAAGUGCUAGUUGAAUAAGCUGGCACCUUGACGGUACCUAACCAGAAAGCCACGGCUAACUACGUGCCAGCCGCCGCGGUAA
RNAcentral lists this ribosomal RNA (515 nucleotides) under uncultured bacterium. RNAcentral's name for it is "partial 16S ribosomal RNA". It matches the Rfam family "Bacterial small subunit ribosomal RNA", at positions 28 to 523 of the family's 1533-position model. The record is from RNAcentral.